This 1648-nucleotide unclassified non-coding RNA is filed under the name Leishmania donovani. RNAcentral's name for it is "gene:unknown". Lineage: Eukaryota; Euglenozoa; Kinetoplastea; Trypanosomatida; Trypanosomatidae. The record is from RNAcentral.
CACUGUGGCAGGGGGUUACACGCGGCCACUGUGGUGCGAGAAAGGGGAAGAAGAGUGGAGGGUGGUAACGGACAAGGGCCUUCGGAAACGAGGAGGGGAAUCCAACAGAGGUCACGAAGUCGGGCGGCUAAUUCGAAAGGGAUCGCAGCAACCCCAGCGGGCUGUUGUACGUUAUACAUAUAUAUACGUGCUCCCCAAGGUUUGUACAUUCACCCCACUCCCCAUAACCCCACAGACACUCUCACAGCCACCCACCCACCCACAGACACUAUCACGAAGGUCUCUUGCGCGUCCACGUGCACUAGGCACAAGCGCGAACCUUUUGGUCACGGGAGAAAAGAGGGGGCAUGCGUGCUUAGGUGUUUGUGCGUGUGCUGCGUGUUCCUACAUUCGCGUAUGUGCGUGUGUGAUGUCCUGUCUCCCACGAGCUUCUUAUCGCCUCUCACAGGCGUAUUUUUUCUUUUGCGAGGUUUGUUCUAUUCGUGCGCUCGUGACGGGGGGUGGAGGGGGCGGGACACACCCCUCAGCGCGUGGUAUCCCAGCGUCCCGUGCCCCCACUCUGUGUGUGGGGAAGCUAAGCAAGCCCCCUCAUCCCUGCCGCAUGCUGAACCGCUUCCGGUGGUGAAAUGGUAAGGCACCUACGACGAGGGGGGGAGCAGGUCAGAGCGAUGCAUCGCUGCGGACGUUAGCGGUCAGCUCCUGGGUCUCGUUGCGUCGGAGCGACCUGCGAAAGUGAAUAUGUUUGCGCCAUCGGUGCAUUAGGCAGAGUGUCGGCGUGGCUUGAGCGUGUGUCUCGCCCGGCCCUCACUGCCCUUGCUGGUGAAGGGAGCCGGAGCCACCCCGAGGAGGGGAUGCGCCAGGGGGGCGGCCAGCACGGUGGAGGCGGCUGUGAGGCGACCUGCGAGGUGGGUGGGCGGCCAGCGUUAGAGGCAGGGGGCCGCGCUGAGGUGGCGGAGUCGGCGCAUUGCCGUAACGCGCGUGUCGGCUGCCGCUUCGCGCUGCUCUCAUGACGGGGUGGGGUGGGGAGAGGGGCAUUGGGCUCAUGCUGUACAGCGGAGAGUGGGCUCACACUGAUGGCAAAGAAACGCGAGUCUUUCUUCUGUUCGGUGUCUUCUUCGGCUGCCUUCCCGUGCGUGCACGCACGUGCGCCCAUACGGUACUUGUUUGCUGUAUCGUCGGUGUAGUAUCGGACCGGGAGGUCGGCGAUAUUGCCAUGACGUCGGCGAGAAUGAGCAAGGGGAGAGCUGUUGGCUCCAGGAGCGGCGCCGUGGAAGGUAAGAGAACGAAAACAAGAGACAUGCGCGUGCACCGCGAUUUGCCCGAUGCGCUUGCGGUGACGUGAAGGCGCUCGUUUUCGUGUGGCGCUGUGCAUACGGGCAUGCACGCCUUUUCCCUCCUCCGUCCCUCGAUCACCUACUCACCUGUGGUAUGUCAUCUUUGCCUCUUCUUGCACCUCCCAGCUCUCACCUCCUCUCUCUCUGUAUCGUCAUCUCGCUUCGCGCGGUGUGGAGGUGGCUGCCGGGGCGCGGUCGGCUUGGGACUCUUCCUUUUGUGAGGGUGGGCUCUCAUUUGCGGGUGCUGCGAUUACUUCGUUCUCCAUCUCUCCCCCGCGUUAUAUCUUGCCAACUGGCUCUCUCCUCUUGUCAAG